UUGCCCCUCUCUUGAUAAUAACGUACCGCAACCGAAUUUAAUUAAAAAAGGGUAAAAGAGUAACAAAUUAGAAGAAAAGAUAAGAGGAUAAAGUUCAAAUUAACGUUGAGCAGUAGAAAAAUCUCAAACAGAUUGCAGUUAUAUCCUGCCACCUCCUCUCUACGUGCAAAAACUGCCCACCUCCUCUUUACGUGAAAAAAAAACUGCUUAUUGGUAGCAGCACCCUCUCAUAAUCUCAUACACUUUAAUCGACAAGAAGUUUCUAAAAGUAUGUUGUGGUGCCAUGGAAGAUAUUCAAGGUCAUCCCCUACGGUUACUUUUCCUUAACAAGUGGUUUUUAAUCUUACCUCCUCUGUGGUUAGUUUUAUGUGUUUGUUUCAGGUAUUGGUUCAAAGAAGAAUGUGGAGGGAGGAAGAGAAAUCAACGAAGGGACCUUAAACUGUUCAAUUUGUUCAUUCAAAAGGCCUCCUUCGUUUUGUUCACGCAGAACUGUUGGUAAGCAGUGUAUUAUUGUCCUUAUUGCAACUCUUAUUCAUUUUGAUUUAAUGUUUAUUGAGCCUUUCUGAUUGUAUGUGUCUUUUGAAAUACGUGAGGGCAUAUGAUCUGUGGAUUGUGAAUUGUGACUUUUGAUUACACUUCUUCGGCGAUUUCAUCUACAUUCUAUGAAUCAAUUGGAUGUAGGACCUCUUUUGAUGAUGUUAAGGAUAAAUGGCAUAUGAAAAUAUUUUAAAGAGGAGCAAUAUGAAUCAAGCGAGUUCUCUAUAUCUAUUCUAAUGGAUUCUUCUGUUUUGAAUAUCCUUCCACGCCAGACUCAGGUAGGAACUUUUUCCUCUUUUCCUUUUUGCAUUUUAUUGUUAGAUUGGAUUAAUUUGACAUGGCUCUUUUCAGGGAUUCAUUCAGUUGCAACUGCUAUGGUUGCAUGGUGGGUGCACAAAUAUAUAAACUUUUCAUUUUUUACAGGCAUAUCUAUUUUGGGUUUAUUUUUUAUUUUUUUAACCAAGUGUAGUAGGCAGCUGAUAGGUUGAUGGGUUAACUUGCAGGGAUAUUUUCUCCAUCAUAUGUUUGAAGUCCAACUCUGCUGCUAAUAAGCUAGCUAGAUUAGCUCUUUUUAGUCAAGUUAAUGUCUCUGGGUUUUGGUUGCAUUCCUGCUGUGAUUAGGGGUUCUGUAACCUCACAUUGUAUGCUCUAAUUCUGUUAGUUAAUAAAGAUUGUCGUCGUCUCCUUCAAAAAAAAGUUAUAAAUUCAAUUUUUGGGGUAGUGAAGAGUAAAAAUGGAAUUGGGAGAGAUAAGAUCUGUGCAUACACAAUUUAUUUUAGAUGUUGGGCUUUCAACUAGAUGAUUUCUUUUUUGUUUGUUCCGGUUCAAAGUUGAUGGAUGAGAAUUGAUUAGUUCACUUAUCUCUUUCCCUUCUUUGCCUUUAACUGUUUGCUGCAGUCAACCAGGCGUUGGAUGACCAAUUAAACGGAAUAAAUUGGAGGCUGAAGAAUCCAACCAAGCUUUCUCCGAUAGUCAAAUGGUGUGUUGACACUUUGAGAAACCUAGACUGAGAAGCCAAUAGUAAUUUUUAUUUGUUGCUGAAUAUGUUAGGCAUGAAGUCUCUUCUAAAGCACUAUUUAUAGUCCUCCUAAUUCAAGUUAUAUAUGUGGAUGUAUUCUUUUUUCUUCUUAUAGAGUUACCAUGUAAGAUGCUUGAAUACAAUAGUUGAGAGGUUGAUUUUUUUGUUUACAAA
Molecule: long non-coding RNA, 1729 nt
Organism: Rosa rugosa (rugosa rose)
Lineage: Eukaryota; Viridiplantae; Streptophyta; Magnoliopsida; Rosales; Rosaceae
Exons: 2
Source: RefSeq, a predicted model, not a curated record